This 444-nucleotide ribosomal RNA is filed under the name uncultured bacterium. RNAcentral describes it as "partial 16S ribosomal RNA". It matches the Rfam family "Bacterial small subunit ribosomal RNA", at positions 354 to 796 of the family's 1533-position model. The record is from RNAcentral.
GUAGGGAAUAUUGGGCAAUGGUCGGAAGACUGACCCAGCCAUGCCGCGUGCAGGAAGACGGCCCUCUGGGUUGUAAACUGCUUUUAUCUGGGAAGAAAAAGGCCAUGCGUGGCAAAUUGCCGGUACCAGAUGAAUAAGCACCGGCUAACUCCGUGCCAGCAGCCGCGGUAAUACGGAGGGUGCGAGCGUUGUCCGGAUUUAUUGGGUUUAAAGGGUGCGUAGGCGGCUGAUUAAGUCAGCGGUGAAAGACUUCGGCUUAACCGGAGCCGUGCCGUUGAUACUGGUUGGCUUGAGUGUCGGAGGGGUACAUGGAAUUGAUGGUGUAGCGGUGAAAUGCAUAGAUACCAUCAGGAACACCGAUAGCGAAGGCAUUGUACUGGCCGACAACUGACGCUGAUGCACGAAAGUGUGGGGAUCGAACAGGAUUAGAUACCCGAGUAGUCC